GCCGGAGUGGCGGAAUGGCAGACGCGCUAGACUCAAAAUCUAGUUUCCGAAAGGGAGUGGGGGUUCAAGUCCCUCCUUCGGUACCA
Molecule: transfer RNA, 86 nt
Filed under: Pedosphaera sp.
Lineage: Bacteria; Pseudomonadati; Verrucomicrobiota; Pedosphaerae; Pedosphaerales; Pedosphaeraceae
Description: tRNA-Leu
Rfam family: tRNA
About the family: Transfer RNA (tRNA) molecules are approximately 80 nucleotides in length. Their secondary structure includes four short double-helical elements and three loops (D, anti-codon, and T loops).
Source: RNAcentral